AUUCCAGCUCCAAUAGCGAAUACUAAUUCUGCUGCAGUUAAAAAGCUCGUAGUUGAACUUGUGGCAGGACAGAUCCGGCCGUUGGGCGAAUGCCCUUUGAUGCUGUGUGUCUCGUCUGGCCAUCCUCGGCAAUUCUUUUUACAAGGUUGUCGUCUUUCACUGUAAAAAAAUUAGGGUGUUUCAAGCAAAGUUUAUGUUGGAAUAUAUUAGUAUGGGAUGAUAAGAUAGGCUCUGGAUGCUAUUUCGUUGGUUUGCACAUUUAGAGAAUGAUUAACAGGGACAGUUGGGGGUAUUCAUAUUUACAUGUCAGAGGUGAAAUUCUUGGAUUUUGGAAAGAUGAACUACUGCGAAGGCAUUUACCAAGGAUGUUUUCAUUG
Molecule: ribosomal RNA, 377 nt
Filed under: Thraustochytriidae sp.
Lineage: Eukaryota; Bigyra; Thraustochytrida; Thraustochytriidae
Description: Thraustochytriaceae sp. partial small subunit ribosomal RNA
Rfam family: Eukaryotic small subunit ribosomal RNA
Source: RNAcentral